GAUGAACGCUGGCGGCGUGCCUAAUACAUGCAAGUCGAGCGAACAGACGAGGAGCUUGCUCCUCUGACGUUAGCGGCGGACGGGUGAGUAACACGUGGAUAACCUACCUAUAAGACUGGGAUAACUUCGGGAAACCGGGUCUAAUACCGGAUAACAUGUUGAACCGCAUGGUUCAACAGUGAAAGACGGUCUUGCUGUCACUUAUAGAUGGAUCCGCGCCGCAUUAGCUAGUUGGUAAGGUAAAGGCUUACCAAGGCAACGAUGCGUAGCCGACCUGAGAGGGUGAUCGGCCACACUGGAACUGAGACACGGUCCAGACUCCGACGGGAGGCAGCAGUAGGGAAUCUUCCGCAAUGGGCGAAAGCCUGACGGAGCAACGCCGCGUGAGUGAUGAAGGUCUUCGGAUCGUAAAACUCUGUUAUUAGGGAAGAACAAAUGUGUAAGUAACUAUGCACGUCUUGACGGUACCUAAUCAGAAAGCCACGGCUAACUACGUG
Molecule: ribosomal RNA, 497 nt
Filed under: uncultured bacterium
Lineage: Bacteria
Description: partial 16S ribosomal RNA
Rfam family: Bacterial small subunit ribosomal RNA
Source: RNAcentral